This 72-nucleotide transfer RNA is filed under the name Candidatus Hakubella thermalkaliphila. RNAcentral describes it as "Candidatus Hakubanella thermoalkaliphilus tRNA-Met". The record is from RNAcentral. Lineage: Bacteria; Bacillati; Actinomycetota; Candidatus Hakubellales; Candidatus Hakubellaceae.
UGGCGGUGACUGGAUUCGAACCAGUGACGUCACGGGUAUGAGCCGUGUGCUCUACCACUGAGCUACACCGCC